GAAGAGCUUGUGUCCAGGAAAACUGUAGGGGGAGACUGGGCUGACUUCGGAGCUGCUCUAAGGACUGUCAGCAAAAUAGUGGUGUCUUAUGGAGGAACACAACCCUGGUUACUUCUCAUCUUAGUUUAGAAUUCACAAAUCUACACAAAUGAGAUUGGUUCUAUGCUGCUCUCCAAUGGCACAGUCCUUCCUCUGCGUUUGAUGUCUGUGGCAAUAUAUACUUGUAUGGACUCUGAGAUUUGAAAACAGG
This is a long non-coding RNA of Alligator sinensis (Chinese alligator), 250 nucleotides long. RefSeq lists it as uncharacterized. NCBI's taxonomy places the organism in Eukaryota, Metazoa, Chordata, Crocodylia, Alligatoridae. The transcript is spliced from 3 exons. The record is from RefSeq and is a predicted model, not a curated record.